CAAGGAGUUCGACGUGCGUCGGCGAGUCGAAGGGUCAUCUAAACCCCGAGGCGCAGCGAAGGAUGUUUAUGGCUCAUUAGCUACCUUGAUCCCCGUGCUUCGGCACGGGGCGCAGAGGUGCCCCGUCCGGCCAUAUAAUCGGGCGGUGGUAAGAGCGCGUACGUUGAUACCCGAAAGAUGGUGAUCUAUGCCCGGGGAGGACGAAGUCCUGGGGAAAGCCAGGUGGAGGUUCGCCGCGUCUCUGACGUGCAAAUCGACCGCCCAACCCGGGCAUAGGGGCGAUAGACCUAUCGAACCAUCUAGUAGCUGGUUCCCUCCGAAGUUUCCCUCAGGAUAGCUGGCGCUCGUAAUGGAGUCGGGUGCGGUCGAGAGAAUGGUUAGAGUGUCAUCGGGGGAAUACAGCUUCCCUCGUCCUAUUAUCAAACUGCGACCGCAGCCCGUAGGAAUGCGGCCGG
RNAcentral lists this ribosomal RNA (455 nucleotides) under Clitaetra perroti. RNAcentral describes it as "eukaryotic LSU rRNA". It matches the Rfam family "Eukaryotic large subunit ribosomal RNA", at positions 667 to 1092 of the family's 3401-position model. The record is from RNAcentral. Lineage: Eukaryota; Metazoa; Arthropoda; Arachnida; Araneae; Nephilidae.